This 537-nucleotide long non-coding RNA is filed under the name Cricetulus griseus (Chinese hamster). RNAcentral's name for it is "lncRNA (ENSCGRG00015037436.1)". Lineage: Eukaryota; Metazoa; Chordata; Mammalia; Rodentia; Cricetidae. The record is from RNAcentral.
GAGUCAGUCAGCUUCCUGUUGCCUACAAGAUAUAUGACUAGCAGCUACAUUGCCUGUACACUGCCAUGCUCCCUGCCAUGAUGAUAAUGGACUGAACUUCUGAAACUGAAAGUCCCAGGGAAAUGUGCAAGAUUCAGCACGCUUACCACUGCAGAAAAAAAAAAAAUGCCAAUGAGCAAUGUGUUGAUCAAAGUUCUGAGGAGGAGAGAUGCUCAAAUAUUUACUCAGAGCACUUCGCCGAAAGGUACCCAAGGGUGCUCCAAGGUGGCCACCAACUGACUUUUGGCAGAGACAGCAUUUCCUCUGUUCUAAGGGACCAUUCAUUCCCACCUGGCGCUUCCUCACACUCCCUCCCUCCUGCUCUAGCGCUCCUUAGGAAGAUGUUUUAUGAACUGUGUGCUUGAAUAUUUUUGUGCUUGCAGCAAAGAAUGUUGUUUUCCUAAAUCAAGAAGGAGAACAGAAACUUUGAAAACUGGGCUUCUCAGCCUCAGGAAUGCUGCUGCUCAGACACUGUCCUGGAAAGGACUACAAAUGAUA